GGCUGACCGAAGUGAGUGUGCGUUCGCUUCGCACGAUACCUUCGCUUGAUAAUGCUUGGUAAAGGUGAUGCAAAAGAAAAUUAUGUACUUCUCAAAAUAAGGAAACGGGGAUGGAACGAGAGGAACGGCAGUGGGUCGGCGAGGCAGAUGCAGUGUUGAAAUCUCUGCUCGACCCUCUGUGCAAACCAAUCCGGAUAUGGAAGCACGUAAAUGUACGGAGGGGAUACUGUUACAUUUAUCCCCUGCCCUCAUUCAUGCCAGGUCAGAAAGGACAAGACGACUGAAAGUAACGGGCUGGGAUCGCCAAAGAGGCCGCUCAAGAAAGUCUACAGGCGCUAUAGGCAGCACGUAAACAACACCAACAAAAAAACUUCACAACUACAUUGCACGAUAAAUGAUUACGUAAAGGAGUCGGAGUCGGAGGUAUUUUUACCAACUCCGACUCCGACUCCAGCCAAAAGGAGCCGACUCCAUCGACUCCGACUCCGACUCCACACCCCUUCUUGUAUCUAUAUUAGCGAUGCAAAUCGACAUGUUUGGGAUUAAUAAGGACUGAUUUUUUUGUAUACAUAAGCAUUCAAAUAUAUUACUGAAAAAAAUAGCUUGAAUAUCUAUUACAACAGUUGAUUUUCACGUAUUCACGAACUGCAAAUGCGCAGGUGCUACAUCUGUCAAAAUUCCCGUUGCGUGGUGUGUGUGUGUGUGUGUGUGUGUGCGCGCUCGCCAACUAUCAUACAUGUGCAAAUUCAUGUACGGAUUGACUGUGUACGUAUUUUAAUAUUUUACGACGGACUGGUGAUAAAACACACACACACACACACACACACAGAGAGAGAGAGAGAG
Long non-coding RNA from Eriocheir sinensis (Chinese mitten crab), 843 nucleotides. RefSeq lists it as uncharacterized. The record is from RefSeq and is a predicted model, not a curated record. The transcript has 3 exons. NCBI's taxonomy places the organism in Eukaryota, Metazoa, Arthropoda, Malacostraca, Decapoda, Varunidae.